GUUUAGAGUUUAGGGUUUAGAGUUUAGGGUUUAGGGUUUAGAGUUUAGAGUUUAGGGUUUAGGGUUUAGAGUUUAGGGUUUAGGGUUUAGGGUUUAGGGUUUAGGGUUGAGAAACGAGGUUUUGGGGAUAAGAUUUCAAAUUUUGAAAAAUAAAAAAAUUAAAAUUUUCAAAAGAUAAAAUGCUAUUUUGGUCAUUUUAGUUUUUGAGUGCUAUUUUUGUGAUAUAAACUUUGAAACGUGCUAUUUUGGAGAUUUGCCCUUUAAAAUAUUUAAAAUAAUUUAAAAAUACUAUUUAUAAACAGAAAGUACCAAAAGAAUAAAUUACCAGAACAAAUUUUAUCUGAAAAUUUUAAAAUUGUCUAAGCUAUCCAAAGUUUAUUUUUGAAAACUCAAA
This 394-nucleotide long non-coding RNA is filed under the name Brassica napus (rape). Its description in RNAcentral is "long non-coding RNA (BNAP_LNC014180)". The record is from RNAcentral. Lineage: Eukaryota; Viridiplantae; Streptophyta; Magnoliopsida; Brassicales; Brassicaceae.